This 468-nucleotide ribosomal RNA is filed under the name uncultured bacterium. Its description in RNAcentral is "partial 16S ribosomal RNA". It matches the Rfam family "Bacterial small subunit ribosomal RNA", at positions 28 to 507 of the family's 1533-position model. The record is from RNAcentral.
GACGAACGCUGGCGGCGUGCUUAACACAUGCAAGUCGAACGAUGAUGCCAGCUUGCUGGUGGAUUAGUGGCGAACGGGUGAGUAACACGUGAGCAACCUGCCCCUGACUUCGGGAUAACCGCGGGAAACCGUGGCUAAUACCGGAUAUGACGCGCUAUCGCAUGGUGGUGCGUGGAAAGAUUUAUCGGUUGGGGAUGGGCUCGCGGCCUAUCAGCUUGUUGGUGGGGUGAUGGCCUACCAAGGCGACGACGGGUAGCCGGCCUGAGAGGGUGACCGGCCACACUGGGACUGAGACACGGCCCAGACUCCUACGGGAGGCAGCAGUGGGGAAUAUUGCACAAUGGGCGCAAGCCUGAUGCAGCGACGCCGCGUGAGGGAUGACGGCCGUCGGGUUGUAAACCUCUUUCAGUAGGGAAGAAGGCCUUCGGGUUGACGGUACCUGCAGAAGAAGCGCCGGCUAACUACGUG